GUCGAACGGCAGCACGGAGAGCUUGCUCUCUGGUGGCGAGUGGCGAACGGGUGAGUAAUAUAUCGGAACGUGUCCAAUAAUGGGGGAUAACGAGUCGAAAGAUUCGCUAAUACCGCAUACGCCCUACGGGGGAAAGCAGGGGAUCGUAAGACCUUGCGUUAAUGGAGCGGCCGAUAUCUGAUUAGCUUGUUGGUGAGGUAAAGGCUCACCAAGGCGACGAUCAGUAGCUGGUUUGAGAGAACGACCAGCCACACUGGAACUGAGACACGGUCCAGACUCCUACGGGAGGCAGCAGUGGGGAAUAUUGGGCAAUGGAGGAAACUCUGACCCAGCGACGCCGCGUGAGGGAUGAAGGCCUUCGGGUUGUAAACCUCUUUCAGUAGGGAAGAAGCGAAAGUGACGGUACCUACAGAAGAAGCACCGGCUAACUAUGUGCCAGCAGCCGCGGUAAUACAUAGGGUGCAAGCGUUGUCCGGAAUUAUUGGGCGUAAAGAGCUCGUAGGUGGUUCGAUACGUCGGAUGUGAAAAUCAGGGGCUCAACCCCUGACCUGCAUCCGAUACGGUCGAGCUAGAGUUUGGUAGGGGAGACUGGAAUUCCUGGUGUAGCGGUGGAAUGCGCAGAUAUCAGGAGGAACACCGAUGGCGAAGGCAGGUCUCUGGGCCAAUACUGACACUGAGGAGCGAAAGCGUGGGGAGCGAACAGGAUUAGAUACCCUGGUAGUCCACGCCGUAAACGGUGGGCGCUAGUUGUGCGAACCUUCCACGGUUUGUGCGACGCAGCUAACGCAUUAAGCGCCCCGCCUGGGGAGUACGAUCGCAAGAUUAAAACUCAAAGGAAUU
RNAcentral lists this ribosomal RNA (840 nucleotides) under uncultured bacterium. RNAcentral's name for it is "bacterial SSU rRNA". It matches the Rfam family "Bacterial small subunit ribosomal RNA", at positions 61 to 911 of the family's 1533-position model. The record is from RNAcentral.